Long non-coding RNA from Quercus lobata, 342 nucleotides. RefSeq lists it as uncharacterized. The transcript is spliced from 3 exons. NCBI's taxonomy places the organism in Eukaryota, Viridiplantae, Streptophyta, Magnoliopsida, Fagales, Fagaceae. The record is from RefSeq and is a predicted model, not a curated record.
AAGGAAAUCCUUUCAUGUGUUACCAGUAUCCAAGUCUAAGCUCCUUCGACUUUAGGCUCUCAGUUCCUCUGCUUUUAGGUAAGGGAUAAGUUAUAUGGGCAUUUGGUAAGUCAUGAGGUUAUUUUAAAGUAUAUUAUGCAUUAAAAUGUUUUUGAUUAGAGAUAUGGCAUAUAAUCAUUAUUCUGACAAAGAUGUGUUUGUGAGUUUUCGAAACUCUAUGUAUAUGAUUUGAGCAUAUUGAUGCCAUUACUAAUUUCCACGAACAUGAAGUUUAAAGAAAAGAAUGGAAAUGCUAUUAUUAUGAAACGUUAUGCAAAAUAAGAAAUUUUAGUAUGAUGUAAA